GAUCGGAACAAUUUCACUCUAACUCAUCAAAGAUUAUCGAUCCAGAACAAUCCUAGUGAGCUCUCACAAUUCAUCAGUGACACCUAACAGUAUGUAGUGACAAUCCAGUAGAACUGAAAUGAACCUCUAGGUAUAGUUAACGUGUGAUUCAGUCUCUCUAUCGUGAGUUCCGACUAGAUGGCAGGUCAUAGAUAAAUCAUCAAAUCUCAACAUCAAUCAUAUGAUAGAUUUGAUUAGCUCAAAUAUGGUUGUAACUUCUAUGAAAAUAUUUUACUAUCAAUCACACAACUAUGACCAC
RNAcentral lists this long non-coding RNA (298 nucleotides) under Elaeis guineensis (African oil palm). Its description in RNAcentral is "long non-coding RNA (EGUI_LNC065573)". Lineage: Eukaryota; Viridiplantae; Streptophyta; Magnoliopsida; Arecales; Arecaceae. The record is from RNAcentral.